ACGAACGCUGGCGGCAUGCCUAACACAUGCCAGUCGAACGAGACCUUCGGGUCUAGUGGCGCACGGGUGCGUAACGCGUGUGAACCUGCCCUUAGGUUCGGAAUAACUCCCCGAAAGGGGUGCUAAUACCGGAUAAUGUCUUCGGACCAAAGAUUUAUCGCCUUUGGAUGGGCCCGCGUUGGAUUAGCUAGUUGGUAGGGUAAAAGCCUACCAAGGCGACGAUCCAUAGCUGGUCUGAGAGGAUGAUCAGCCACACUGGGACUGAGACACGGCCCAGACUCCUACGGGAGGCAGCAGUGGGGAAUAUUGGACAAUGGGCGAAAGCCUGAUCCAGCAAUGCCGCGUGAGUGAUGAAGGCCUUAGGGUUGUAAAGCUCUUGUACCCGGGAUGAUAAUGACAGUACCGGGAGAAUAAGCUCCGGCUAACUCCGUG
This 432-nucleotide ribosomal RNA is filed under the name uncultured bacterium. RNAcentral describes it as "partial 16S ribosomal RNA". It matches the Rfam family "Bacterial small subunit ribosomal RNA", at positions 29 to 507 of the family's 1533-position model. The record is from RNAcentral.